Molecule: ribosomal RNA, 738 nt
Filed under: uncultured Bacillus sp.
Lineage: Bacteria; Bacillati; Bacillota; Bacilli; Caryophanales; Bacillaceae
Description: bacterial SSU rRNA
Rfam family: Bacterial small subunit ribosomal RNA
Source: RNAcentral
AACACGGAUUAGAUACCCUGGUAGUCCACGCCGUAAACGUUGGGCGCUAGAUGUAGGGACCUUUCCACGGUUUCUGUGUCGUAGCUAACGCAUUAAGCGCCCCGCCUGGGGAGUACGGCCGCAAGGCUAAAACUCAAAGGAAUUGACGGGGGCCCGCACAAGCGGCGGAGCAUGCGGAUUAAUUCGAUGCAACGCGAAGAACCUUACCAAGGCUUGACAUACACCGGAAACGGCCAGAGAUGGUCGCCCCCUUGUGGUCGGUGUACAGGUGGUGCAUGGUUGUCGUCAGCUCGUGUCGUGAGAUGUUGGGUUAAGUCCCGCAACGAGCGCAACCCUCGUUCUAUGUUGCCAGCGCGUUAUGGCGGGGACUCAUAGGAGACUGCCGGGGUCAACUCGGAGGAAGGUGGGGAUGACGUCAAAUCAUCAUGCCCCUUAUGUCUUGGGCUUCACGCAUGCUACAAUGGCCGGUACAAAGGGCUGCGAUACCGUAAGGUGGAGCGAAUCCCAAAAAGCCGGUCUCAGUUCGGAUUGAGGUCUGCAACUCGACCUCAUGAAGUCGGAGUCGCUAGUAAUCGCAGAUCAGCAACGCUGCGGUGAAUACGUUCCCGGGCCUUGUACACACCGCCCGUCAAGUCAUGAAAGUCGGUAACACCCGAAGCCGGUGGCCUAACCCUUGUGGAAGGAGCCGUCGAAGGUGGGAUCGGUGAUUAGGACUAAGUCGUAACAAGGUAGCCGUAA